UCCUACGGGAGGCAGCAGUGGGGAAUAUUGCACAAUGGGCGAAAGCCUGAUGCAGCAACGCCGCGUGAGCGAAGAAGGUCUUCGGAUCGUAAAGCUCUGUCCUAUGGGAAGAACACAAUGACGGUACCAUAGGAGGAAGCCCCGGCUAACUACGUGCCAGCAGCCGCGGUAAUACGUAGGGGGCAAGCGUUAUCCGGAAUCACUGGGCGUAAAGGGUGCGUAGGCGGUUUCUCAAGCCAGAAGUGAAAGGCAAUGGCUCAACCAUUGUAAGCUUUUGGAACUGAGAGACUUGAGUGCAGGAGAGGAAAGUGGAAUUCCUAGUGUAGAGGUGAAAUUCGUAGAUAUUAGGAGGAACACCAGUGGCGAAGGCGACUUUCUGGACUGUAACUGACGCUGAGGCACGAAAGUGUGGGGAGCGAACAGGAUUAGAUACCCUGGUAGUCCACACCGUAAACGAUGAAUACUAGGUGUCGGGGGUCGAACCUCGGUGCCGCAGCUAACGCAUUAAGUAUUCCGCCUGGGGAGUACGCACGCAAGUGUGAAACUCAAAUGAAUUGACGG
RNAcentral lists this ribosomal RNA (561 nucleotides) under uncultured bacterium. Its description in RNAcentral is "bacterial SSU rRNA". It matches the Rfam family "Bacterial small subunit ribosomal RNA", at positions 337 to 916 of the family's 1533-position model. The record is from RNAcentral.